This is an RNA transcript of Erigeron canadensis, 1206 nucleotides long. RefSeq lists it as uncharacterized. NCBI's taxonomy places the organism in Eukaryota, Viridiplantae, Streptophyta, Magnoliopsida, Asterales, Asteraceae. The record is from RefSeq and is a predicted model, not a curated record. The transcript has 7 exons.
AUGGUACCAAGUGUGGAAACUUUUGGUGUCACACUCUUUUGGUUGCUUCCACAUCAAUUUUCUUACAAGUUACAAGCAAUUGACUUCUAUUUUGCAAGAAUUCUGAUCUAAGACCCAACCAAAAAACAGUCCCAAAUCUCAAGCCAAACGAAAAACAGUCACCGAUCAUCAGGAGGAGGAAGAACUGGUUAGCAAGUAGCUGAAUCCAAACUAGCUUAUAGUGCAUAUGGACCAGAAUGCUGCUAUUGAAGAGGCAAAGGGUAAGACACAUGGCUUUGAGUUCGUGAAGUCGGUUUCAGACAAGAAUCUUGAUAUUUUGAGGUCUUCGUUUCACUGUUUUUCAAUGUUCAAAGGGAAUGCAACAAAUUAUGAUGACUGCGAGAAAGAUAGGUAUAUUCUUGUGAGAGAUGCAGAUGACUUCCAACAAGGGAUUUAUGCUAAACCUCUUCCUUGCUUUGGCUGCGGGGUUGGAUGGUUUUCAUUCCUACUAGGGUUUGCAUUUCCAUUGAUGUGGUACUAUGCUACAUUUCUCUAUUUUGGAAAUUACCACCGAAGAGAUCCUAGGGAACGGGCAGGUCUUGCUGCUUCUGCAAUCGCUGCAAUGGGGUUUUCUGUUGUAUUGCUGAUCAUAUCAGCAAUUCUUCUAUUCUAAUAUGCAGAGGUUGACACCUUGUAGAUGUUAAUCUUUUCAUACAGAACCUUCAAAAUAUAGUAAAAGAUAACCUGUAGGAGGUCAUGACUUCAGGGUCCUUUAACAGCCGCUGUCGACGAAGGACAUUGACUAUCAGAAAAUACAGAAGCUGCCAAAGGAAGUAAGCAAUCAAUGGAACCGUGAAUAGCCAUGUGCACAGGAAAGAUUUGUCUUCUAUCUGACGCCAUGAACCACCUUGUACACUUCCCAUAGGAUGCAUGGCUUCGAAGAAGGCCGGAUCCCACCAGCACAUCGUGAAGAAUACCACACCUGCAGAUUACACGAAAAACAUUGCUCGAGAAAAAACCACUUUCCUACAUAAGAUCUCAUCUUUGUUUAUCAUCACAUCAUGAAAAUGAACUUAUAAAACUAACAUGAGAAAUGGAUUAUAAAAAUGAUUGUAGAACUAAGAUCAAAGACUUUAGAUGAUUUUGGUGCUGUAAGAGGGCGUUGUGUACAGCUAAAACUUUCUAAAUGAAAUAUCUAGCUAUUAUGAAGGUUAUUAUAUUGUUCCA